GUGUGGCUGGGAGAAAAUGUAAGCAGGAAGUGAAGCAGCUGGAUCUCUGCACGCAACAAGACGCUCACCACAACGCCAAGGAGAAGGCCACAAAUUGGUUGUGCUUGCACAUUUAAUGCUGCCGAGAAGCUACACAUAUUUGGCAUUCGCGGCCGAGCCGCUCACCAUCAUGGAGUUGGAUCACACUAGACCUCAAUGGCAUGCUCUGCCAUGUGGCCUCCUUGAUGCUGGUCGUCGAGCACUGAUUCGACUAGACUAUCGCGCACAUAUUGAUCACAUUUGAUAAACAAGCUAUGAUCGUUGGAGAGUACCCCUCAGAUAUAUAGGUGCUUUGAUCUGAAGGAUUGGUUUGUGAUACGUCAUUGAUUCAUCGUUGACACAAAUAUGAAAGCACACUAGAAAGAUAAACAUAGG
Triticum dicoccoides is the source of this 414-nucleotide long non-coding RNA. RefSeq lists it as uncharacterized. The record is from RefSeq and is a predicted model, not a curated record. The transcript has 4 exons. NCBI's taxonomy places the organism in Eukaryota, Viridiplantae, Streptophyta, Magnoliopsida, Poales, Poaceae.